This 253-nucleotide ribosomal RNA is filed under the name uncultured bacterium. RNAcentral describes it as "partial 16S ribosomal RNA". It matches the Rfam family "Bacterial small subunit ribosomal RNA", at positions 524 to 776 of the family's 1533-position model. The record is from RNAcentral.
UACGAAGGGUGCAAGCGUUACUCGGAAUUACUGGGCGUAAAGCGUGCGUAGGUGGUUUGUUAAGUCUGCUGUGAAAGCCCCGGGCUUAACCUGGGAACUGCAUCCGAGACUGCAUUGCUAGAGUAUGGGAGAGGGAAGCGGAAUUUCUGGUGUAGCAGUGAAAUGCGUAGAUAUCAGAAGGAACAUCAGUGGCGAAGGCGGCUUCCUGGACCAAUACUGACGAUCAGGUGCGAAAGCGUGGGGAGCAAACAGG